UAUACCCUGCGGUGUUCGUGACCGUGCCACAUGUUUUGAGCCAACAUAUUUUCUAUGGGAGCCUAGAGCUCCGUCUGUGGCUUGCGUGCCUGCCAAGAGCGGGAGCGAUAAGCAGACGGGAGGGCACCCACCUGCGCGAGCAGGUUCAAAACAGGGGCCUCCACGACAUUGUGGGGUGUUU
Molecule: non-coding RNA, 181 nt
Filed under: Peptococcaceae bacterium
Lineage: Bacteria; Bacillati; Bacillota; Clostridia; Eubacteriales; Peptococcaceae
Description: 6S RNA
Rfam family: 6S / SsrS RNA
About the family: E. coli 6S RNA was the first non coding RNA to be sequenced, but its function was unknown until recently. It consists of 184 nucleotides that fold into an extended hairpin structure with a large single-stranded internal bulge. The 6S RNA specifically associates with RNA polymerase holoenzyme containing the sigma70 specificity factor.
Source: RNAcentral